CCUACGGGUGGCUGCAGUGAGGAAUAUUGGUCAAUGGGCGCGAGCCUGAACCAGCCAAGUCGCGUGAAGGAUGACUGCCCUACGGGUUGUAAACUUCUUUUAUAAAGGAAUAAAGUGAGGCACGUGCGCCUUUUUGUAUGUACUUUAUGAAUAAGCAUCGGCUAACUCCGUGCCAGCAGCCGCGGUAAUACGGAGGAUCCGAGCGUUAUCCGGAUUUAUUGGGUUUAAAGGGUGCGUAGAUGGGUUGUUAAGUCAGGUGUGAAAGUUUGUGGCUCAACCGUAAAAUUGCCGUUGAUACUGGUAGCCUUGAGUACAGUUGAGGUAGGCGGAAUGCGUGGUGUAGCGGUGAAAUGCUUAGAUAUCACGAAGAACUCCGAUUGCGAAGGCAGCUUACUAAACUGCCACUGACACUGAGGCACGAAAGUGUGGGUAUCAAACAGGAUUAGAUACCCCAGUAGUC
Molecule: ribosomal RNA, 460 nt
Filed under: uncultured bacterium
Lineage: Bacteria
Description: partial 16S ribosomal RNA
Rfam family: Bacterial small subunit ribosomal RNA
Source: RNAcentral